GAAAAGAAACUAACUAGGAUUCCCUUAGUAACGGCGAGUGAACCGGGAUGAGCUCAAAUUUAAAAUCUGGCGUCUUUCAGGCGUCCGAGUUGUAAUCUAUAGAGGCGUUUUCCGCGCCGGACCGCGUCCAAGUCUCUUGGAAUAGAGUAUCAAAGAGGGUGACAAUCCCGUACUUGACGCGACAACCGGUGCUCUGUGAUACGUUCUCAAUGAGUCGAGUUGUUUGGGAAUGCAGCUCUAAAUGGGUGGUAAAUUCCAUCUAAGGCUAAAUAUUGGCGAGAGACCGAUAGCGAACAAGUACCGUGAGGGAAAGAUGAAAAGCACUUUGGAAAGAGAGUUAAACAGCACGUGAAAUUGUUAAAAGGGAAACGAUUGAAGUCAGUCGUGUGAAAGGUAUUCAGCCGUCUCUGGCGGUGUAUUUGCCUUUCACGGGUCAACAUCAGUUUGAUCCGGUAGAAAAAGGCGGGAGGAAGGUGGCACCCUCGGGUGUGUUAUAGCCUCCUGUCAUAUGUGCCGGACCAGACUGAGGAACGCAGCUUGCCGCAAGGCCGGGGUUCGCCCACGUACAAGCUUAGGAUGU
This 580-nucleotide ribosomal RNA is filed under the name Vishniacozyma victoriae. RNAcentral describes it as "partial large subunit ribosomal RNA". It matches the Rfam family "Eukaryotic large subunit ribosomal RNA", at positions 56 to 626 of the family's 3401-position model. The record is from RNAcentral. Lineage: Eukaryota; Fungi; Basidiomycota; Tremellomycetes; Tremellales; Bulleribasidiaceae.